This 448-nucleotide ribosomal RNA is filed under the name uncultured bacterium. RNAcentral describes it as "bacterial SSU rRNA". It matches the Rfam family "Bacterial small subunit ribosomal RNA", at positions 355 to 796 of the family's 1533-position model. The record is from RNAcentral.
UCGAGAAUUUUUCUCAAUGGGGGAAACCCUGAAGGAGCGACGCCGCGUGGGGGAUGAAUGGCUUCGGCCCGUAAACCCCUGUCAUUCGGGAUCAAUGCUUGUUACUUAACACGUAAUAAGUUGAUAGUACCGGAAGAGGAAGGGACGGCUAACUCUGUGCCAGCAGCCGCGGUAAUACAGAGGUCCCAAGCGUUGUUCGGAUUUACUGGGCGUAAAGGGUGCGUAGGUGGUUGGGUAAGUCUGAUGUGAAAUCUCCGGGCUCAACCCGGAAAUGGCAUUGGAAACUACCUGACUCGAGGAUUGGAGGGGGGACUGGAAUACUUGGUGUAGCAGUGAAAUGCGUAGAUAUCAAGUGGAACACCAGUGGCGAAGGCGAGUCCCUGGACAACUCCUGACACUGAGGCACGAAAGCUAGGGGAGCAAACAGGAUUAGAUACCCCUGUAGUCC